AAUGCAGUUCAAGUACUGUUAUUUCGGUAUGUUUUUGUUGGCUGUGUCAGUUUGUUUUCAUUUAAUUUUAAGUGUACAUUGUUGUUUCAAAAAGUGUAAAAUUUAAAUUAUAGAAUUAAAUUAUAUUUGUUAACAUAUAUUGUUCGGGGGUUCCCACCGUAUUUCGCUUUAUUCAUAUUCGUUGUGAACGUAGCUUUGUUAAUGAACAUUUUAGAAAAUCAAGUUAGUUUGCAAGGAGGAUGUGUAUUAUAUAACAUCAAAUCCUAAGAAAAACACCUAGGUCUCUAUUAGGCCUGAUAUGUUGUGCAUGUUUGCACAAUCUCUAUUGGAAAUCCAACCCACGACCUUCGUUCUGACAAUGUCCCAAGUUUAAAGAACUAAAACAGGACAAAGAUGGUGUCAUCAUUGAGCCACAAAAUUACCUGUCAAUCUAAAAGUAUGUCCAUUAAGUUGUUUACAACAUUUGCAACAAAGAAGCUGUCCAAGCAAAAAAUUCAAAUUACCAAAUACUAACAAUUUUUUUCUAACAUUCUUAUAAGUCUGACAUUGAAAUUAUUCAAUUUAUCAUAAUCUAACCAACAGCAGAAAAAACAAAGCACUUUAUAACGUGUUACCCGUGCAAGUUUUAUUUUAUAUUACG
Molecule: long non-coding RNA, 640 nt
Organism: Lucilia cuprina (Australian sheep blowfly)
Lineage: Eukaryota; Metazoa; Arthropoda; Insecta; Diptera; Calliphoridae
Exons: 3
Source: RefSeq, a predicted model, not a curated record